RNAcentral lists this ribosomal RNA (468 nucleotides) under uncultured bacterium. RNAcentral's name for it is "partial 16S ribosomal RNA". It matches the Rfam family "Bacterial small subunit ribosomal RNA", at positions 28 to 507 of the family's 1533-position model. The record is from RNAcentral.
GACGAACGCUGGCGGCGUGCUUAACACAUGCAAGUCGAACGGAAAGGCCCUGCUUUUGUGGGGUGCUCGAGUGGCGAACGGGUGAGUAACACGUGAGUAACCUGCCCUUGACUUUGGGAUAACUUCAGGAAACUGGGGCUAAUACCGGAUAGGAGCUCCUGCUGCAUGGUGGGGGUUGGAAAGUUUCGGCGGUUGGGGAUGGACUCGCGGCUUAUCAGCUUGUUGGUGGGGUAGUGGCUUACCAAGGCUUUGACGGGUAGCCGGCCUGAGAGGGUGACCGCCCACAUUGGGACUGAGAUACGGCCCAGACUCCUACGGGAGGCAGCAGUGGGGAAUAUUGCACAGUGGGCGGAAGCCUGAUGCAGCAACGCCGCGUGCGGGAUGACGGCCUUCGGGUUGUAAACCGCUUUCGCCUGAGACGAAGCGUGAGUGACGGUAAUGGGUAAAGAAGCACCGGCUAACUACGUG